AAACUUUCAACAAUGGAUCUCUUGGCUCUUGCAUCGAUGAAGAACGCAGUGAAGUGAAGUGCGAUAUGUAGUGUGAAUUGCAGAAUUCCGUGAAUCAUCGAAUCUUUGAACGCAUAUUGCACUCUCUGGUAUUCCGGAGAGUAUGCCUAUUUGAGGGUCAUU
Molecule: ribosomal RNA, 162 nt
Filed under: Ambispora leptoticha
Lineage: Eukaryota; Fungi; Glomeromycota; Glomeromycetes; Archaeosporales; Ambisporaceae
Description: 5.8S ribosomal RNA
Rfam family: 5.8S ribosomal RNA
About the family: 5.8S ribosomal RNA (5.8S rRNA) is a component of the large subunit of the eukaryotic ribosome.
Source: RNAcentral